RNAcentral lists this ribosomal RNA (345 nucleotides) under Triticum aestivum (bread wheat). RNAcentral describes it as "partial small subunit ribosomal RNA". Lineage: Eukaryota; Viridiplantae; Streptophyta; Magnoliopsida; Poales; Poaceae. The record is from RNAcentral.
AUGGCGGUCGCCCCGGCGUCAUUGAUGAGGAGGGCUGACGGCGACCUCCCUCGAUCUCGUCUCCCGUCGUUGUCGCGGCGACGGAUCUGUCGUUGUGGGCGCCGGCAACUGUCGCAGCAGGACAAGUUAAGGGAUGACAGGCGUGUGUGCAAUCAGUUGGAACAAUGCAUAUGCAUCAAUGAGCCAUCAAUCUUCAGCAACGGAUUGGAUGCUCAUUGUGGAUAUGUAGCCAGUCCUCGUGUUGUUCUUCUUCGUGCAAAAUUCACCAACAAUGAAGUGCAGGUUACUCCUCGAGGCAGGUCAUUUCCAUCCUCGGUGCAGUUAACUGGCGUGCAAUUUUGUUAG